This 254-nucleotide ribosomal RNA is filed under the name uncultured bacterium. RNAcentral's name for it is "partial 16S ribosomal RNA". It matches the Rfam family "Bacterial small subunit ribosomal RNA", at positions 524 to 776 of the family's 1533-position model. The record is from RNAcentral.
UACGUAGGGUGCGAGCGUUAAUCGGAAUUACUGGGCGUAAAGCGUGCGCAGGCGGUCUGUUAAGACCGAUGUGAAAUCCCCGGGCUUAACCUGGGAACUGCAUUGGUGACUGGCAGGCUUUGAGUGUGGCAGAGGGAGGUAGAAUUCCACGUGUAGCAGUGAAAUGCGUAGAGAUGUGGAGGAAUACCAAUGGCGAAGGCAGCCUCCUGGGCCAACACUGACGCUCAUGCACGAAAGCGUGGGGAGCAAACAGG